UGAACUGCUUUGAAGGAAAAUAAGUAGCUGUCCCUUUCCCUGUUUAUAGAGAGCCGAUGUUUGGUGUGAAUCGGUACAAAAAGGUAAGUGAAUUUCAUUUCUGGAGCUUCUUUUGCAUUGCAAAAGACGGUGAAGAUCGUUAAACAAACAAGUGGUGAGUGUAAACUCACAACCAGGGUGGUACCGCGAUAACAAUCGUCCCUACG
Molecule: non-coding RNA, 206 nt
Rfam family: T-box leader
About the family: Uncharged tRNA acts as the effector for transcription antitermination of genes in the T-box leader family. T-boxes are found upstream of many aminoacyl-tRNA synthetase genes and some amino acid biosynthetic genes usually in Gram-positive bacteria. The anticodon of a specific tRNA base pairs to a specifier sequence within the T-box motif, and the NCCA acceptor tail of the tRNA base pairs to a conserved bulge in the T-box antiterminator hairpin.